AUUGAACGCUGGCGGCAGGCCUAACACAUGCAAGUCGAAUGGUAACAGGAAACAGCUUGCUGUUUCGCUGACGAGUGGCGGCCGGGUGAGUAAUGUCUGGGAAACUGCCUGAUGGAGGGGGAUAACUACUGGAAACGGUAGCUAAUACCGCAUAACGUCGCAAGACCAAAGAGGGGGACCUUCGGGCCUCUUGCCAUCAGAUGUGCCCAGAUGGGAUUAGCUAGUAGGUGGGGUAACGGCUCACCUAGGCGACGAUCCCUAGCUGGUCUGAGAGGAUGACCAGCCACACUGGAACUGAGACACGGUCCAGACUCCUACGGGAGGCAGCAGUGGGGAAUAUUGCACAAUGGGCGCAAGCCUGAUGCAGCCAUGCCGCGUGUAUGAAGAAGGCCUUCGGGUUGUAAAGUACUUUCAGCGGGGAGGAAGGGAGUAAAGUUAAUACCUUUGCUCAUUGACGUUACCCGCAGAAGAAGCACCGGCUAACUCCGUG
RNAcentral lists this ribosomal RNA (490 nucleotides) under uncultured bacterium. Its description in RNAcentral is "partial 16S ribosomal RNA". It matches the Rfam family "Bacterial small subunit ribosomal RNA", at positions 30 to 507 of the family's 1533-position model. The record is from RNAcentral.